Molecule: ribosomal RNA, 520 nt
Filed under: uncultured Geobacillus sp.
Lineage: Bacteria; Bacillati; Bacillota; Bacilli; Caryophanales; Anoxybacillaceae
Description: partial 16S ribosomal RNA
Source: RNAcentral
CACGUAGUUAGCCGGGGCUUUCUCGUGAGGUACCGUCACCGCGCCGCCCUCUUCGAACGGCACUCCUUCGUCCCUCACAACAGAGCUUUACGACCCGAAGGCCUUCUUCGCUCACGCGGCGUCGCUCCGUCAGGCUUUCGCCCAUUGCGAAAGAUUCCCUACUGCUGCCUCCCGUAGGAGUCUGGGCCGUGUCUCAGUCCCAGUGUGGCCGGUCACCCUCUCAGGCCGGCUACGCAUCGUCGCCUUGGUGAGCCGUUACCUCACCAACUAGCUAAUGCGCCGCGGGCCCAUCCGCAAGUGACAGCCCAAAGGCCGCCUUUCAACCGAAGACCAUGCGGUCUUCGGUGUUAUCCGGUAUUAGCUCCGGUUUCCCGGAGUUAUCCCGGUCUUGCGGGCAGGUUGCCCACGUGUUACUCACCCGUCCGCCGCUGACCGAAUCAAGGCAAGCCCCAAUCCGGUCCGCUCGACUUGCAUGUAUUAGGCACGCCGCCAGCGUCGUCCUGAGCCAGGAUCAAACUCU